Musa acuminata AAA Group (dessert banana) is the source of this 1205-nucleotide long non-coding RNA. RefSeq lists it as uncharacterized. Lineage: Eukaryota; Viridiplantae; Streptophyta; Magnoliopsida; Zingiberales; Musaceae. The record is from RefSeq and is a predicted model, not a curated record. The transcript is spliced from 3 exons.
UUUCUUCUUGGUAGGGAUGUUUCUUUUCUCGAUGAAUUUAGGUUUUCCGAGUUCAUGCGAUUCUUGGAGUUGGUUUCUGCGAAUUGCACACUCGACUAAAAACCUAGCAUUUCCAAGGGUUUGUAUGCUUUUCGUUGUUGCUGUUAUUUGAGCUCGAUUCCUUGUCUUCGUUGUGAUGAUUAGGGAGGAGCAAACGAGGGCGUGCCUGGAGAUGGGGCACCGAGCUGGUCGAACCCAUCGCCAAUACUCUUUUGGUGCUUCCGUCCAAUGACGGCCAUUGACCAAGCUUUACAAGGAGAAGCACUUUCCUGCAACAGCAUUACACUGGUCAUUGGGAACCCAGAGAGAGACACCAAAGAGUAAAGAAGAGCUUGACAAUGUAGUUGGGAUGACGGCAAUGGCAACAGCAAGUGGUGGCAUCACACGCUACCAAUGGAUAUCUAUUGCCUUUUCCCUUUUCAUGGAAGGAAAAGGGAUAAGCUACCAAUAGAAGCAACACAGCAUGAAUUCUUGGCCAGCUGAUGCUCAUGACAUGGCAUCAACAAGUUACAGUGUUUUAAUGUGAAGAAGGAAAAGCCACAGAAGAAGGAAAAGGAACAUGAGACAUCUUCUACUGCAAGCUGAAGCCAUAAAAAAAACCUCUCAAAGAAUCUUCAAUAAAGAAACAGUAGCUGGCGGUUCUUAUGAGACUGGCAGAAUGAUGAGGGGCUAUUAAGUGAGCAAUGUCUUGUGCUUUGCCUUGUCCUUGUUUUGUCAGAUGCCAUGGAGAAAAUUAAGUCUACCUAGGUGAUCUCCUUGACCAUGAUGUACGCUUAAUUAUUAUGUAUCUGGGUUGUAUUAUAUUUCACCAAGUGUUGAAACUUGGUUACACAAGUUUUUUAGAUAAUUUAGUCCAUAGAGUUGCUGUUAAAAGCUUGCAAAUGAGGAAUCACUGAGAUUUCUUCAAGACAGAAGGGGACAAAGGAGUGAUCUGCUGCUUGUGUUCUGAAUGGCCCCACUUUAUCCCAUCUUAGAGGAGGGAAUGUGUUGGUUCCCUGUGAAUUUUCCUGGAUGCAUAUCAAGUUUAUCCCAGAAUGUGUGGCCUCAAGCUUUUCUUCCUAUUCAUGCAGAGGCUGUGGCAAAGCUUGUAGCAUCUGAUAUUAGAAAGUGUGGUUGAACUGAGAACUCAAUCCAUUCACUCAAGUAGAACCUGAAUUCACUGAACU